RNAcentral lists this transfer RNA (66 nucleotides) under Chasmoptera huttii. Its description in RNAcentral is "tRNA-Trp". Lineage: Eukaryota; Metazoa; Arthropoda; Insecta; Neuroptera; Nemopteridae. The record is from RNAcentral.
AAGGUUUUAAGUUAAAAAAACUAAUAGCCUUCAAAGCUGUAAAUAGAAAAAUAUAUCUAAACCUUA